This 432-nucleotide unclassified non-coding RNA is filed under the name Mucor racemosus. RNAcentral describes it as "sequence contains ITS1, 5.8S rRNA gene, ITS2". The stretch from base 149 to 301 matches the Rfam family "5.8S ribosomal RNA". The record is from RNAcentral. RNAcentral also lists the same sequence under 1 other name. Lineage: Eukaryota; Fungi; Mucoromycota; Mucoromycetes; Mucorales; Mucoraceae.
GACAUUUGAGGGAUGUUCCAAUGUUAUAAGGAUAGACAUUGGAAAUGUUAACCGAGUCAUAAUCAGGUUUAGGCCUGGUAUCCUAUUAUUAUUUACCAAAUGAAUUCAGAAUUAAUAUUGUAACAUAGACCUAAAAAAUCUAUAAAACAACUUUUAACAACGGAUCUCUUGGUUCUCGCAUCGAUGAAGAACGUAGCAAAGUGCGAUAACUAGUGUGAAUUGCAUAUUCAGUGAAUCAUCGAGUCUUUGAACGCAACUUGCGCUCAUUGGUAUUCCAAUGAGCACGCCUGUUUCAGUAUCAAAACAAACCCUCUAUCCAACUUUUGUUGUAUAGGAUUAUUGGGGGCCUCUCGAUCUGUAUAGAUCUUGAAAUCCCUGAAAUUUACUAAGGCCUGAACUUGUUUAAAUGCCUGAACUUUUUUUUAAUAUAAA